UCGUGCUAGACGGGGAGCUAGCGGUGCCCUGAACCCGCAAUCCGCUAUAGCGGGGUCGAAUUCCCUGCUCCCGGUGCGGUCUCUUUUCGGUUCAACAACCGCGCUGCAGUGUUGAUGGCCGGGAGCCGCGCAUCUGCGAGUGCUCGAACCGUGUCAGGGCCGGAAGGCAGCAGCACUAAGAGUGUCUCCCAGAGUGCCGCGGGAACGCCUGGCCGGAGCUGCAGACGACUGCUUCCGGGGAGAGCCGCAUCAAAAGCAGGGUGCACGA
This 268-nucleotide signal recognition particle RNA is filed under the name Chthonomonadia bacterium. RNAcentral describes it as "Chthonomonadetes bacterium (hot springs metagenome) signal recognition particle sRNA large type". It matches the Rfam family "Bacterial large signal recognition particle RNA". Rfam says of the family: The signal recognition particle (SRP) is a universally conserved ribonucleoprotein involved in the co-translational targeting of proteins to membranes. Archaeal SRP consists of a 7S RNA and homologues of the eukaryotic SRP19 and SRP54 proteins. Lineage: Bacteria; Bacillati; Armatimonadota; Chthonomonadia. The record is from RNAcentral.